Molecule: long non-coding RNA, 513 nt
Organism: Cydia amplana
Lineage: Eukaryota; Metazoa; Arthropoda; Insecta; Lepidoptera; Tortricidae
Exons: 2
Source: RefSeq, a predicted model, not a curated record
CGACUCGCACUUGGCCGCUUUUUUAGUUUUAUCAUUCUCUUAUUUUAGAAGUUACAGGGGGGGGGGGACACACAUUUUACCACUUUGGAAGCGACUCUCGCGCAAACUAUUCAGUUUAGAAAAAAAUUAUAUUAGAAACUUCAAUAUCAUUUUUGAAGACCUAUCCAUAGAUACCCCACACGUAUGGGUUUGAUGAAAAUUUUUUUUUGAGUUUCAUUUGUAAACGUAUAAAAAAAAAACUACUUACUAGAUCUCAUUCAAACCAAUUUUCGGUGGAAGUUUACAUGGUAAUGUACAUCAUAUAUUUUUUUUAGUUUUAUCAUUCUCUUAUUUUAGAAGUUACAGGGGGGGGGACACCCAUUUUACCACUUUGGAAGUGUCUCUCGCGCAAACUAUUCAGUUUAGAAAAAAAUGAUAUUAGAAACCUCAAUAUCACUUUUGAAGAGCUAUCCAUAGAUACCCCACACGUAUGGGUUUGAUGAAAAAAAAAUUUUUGAGUUUCAGUUCGAAGUA